This 938-nucleotide ribosomal RNA is filed under the name uncultured bacterium. RNAcentral describes it as "bacterial SSU rRNA". It matches the Rfam family "Bacterial small subunit ribosomal RNA", at positions 560 to 1501 of the family's 1533-position model. The record is from RNAcentral.
GUAAAGCGUGCGCAGGCGGAUUGUUAAGCAAGAUGUGAAAUCCCCGGGCUUAACCUGGGAAUGGCAUUUUGAACUGGCAGUCUAGAGUGCGUCAGAGGGGGGUGGAAUUCCACGUGUAGCAGUGAAAUGCGUAGAGAUGUGGAGGAACACCGAUGGCGAAGGCAGCCCCCUGGGAUGACACUGACGCUCAUGUACGAAAGCGUGGGUAGCAAACAGGAUUAGAUACCCUGGUAGUCCACGCCCUAAACGAUGUCAACUGGUUGUUGGGGGAGUGAAAUCCCUUAGUAACGAAGCUAACGCGUGAAGUUGACCGCCUGGGGAGUACGGUCGCAAGAUUAAAACUCAAAGGAAUUGACGGGGACCCGCACAAGCGGUGGAUGAUGUGGAUUAAUUCGAUGCAACGCGAAAAACCUUACCUACCCUUGACAUGUCCGGAAUCCUGCAGAGAUGCGGGAGUGCCCGAAAGGGAAUCGGAACACAGGUGCUGCAUGGCUGUCGUCAGCUCGUGUCGUGAGAUGUUGGGUUAAGUCCCGCAACGAGCGCAACCCUUAUCAUUAGUUGCUACGCAAGGGCACUCUAAUGAGACUGCCGGUGACAAACCGGAGGAAGGUGGGGAUGACGUCAAGUCCUCAUGGCCCUUAUGGGUAGGGCUUCACACGUCAUACAAUGGUCGGUACAGAGGGUUGCCAAGCCGCGAGGUGGAGCCAAUCCCAGAAAGCCGAUCGUAGUCCGGAUUGUUCUCUGCAACUCGAGAGCAUGAAGUCGGAAUCGCUAGUAAUCGCGGAUCAGCAUGUCGCGGUGAAUACGUUCCCGGGUCUUGUACACACCGCCCGUCACACCAUGGGAGUGGAAUCUGCCAGAAGUAGGUAGCCUAACCGCAAGGAGGGCGCUUACCACGGUGGGUUUCAUGACUGGGGUGAAGUCGUAACAAGGGUAAC